This 8650-nucleotide long non-coding RNA is filed under the name Gossypium barbadense (sea-island cotton). RNAcentral describes it as "long non-coding RNA (GBAR_LNC000096)". The record is from RNAcentral. Lineage: Eukaryota; Viridiplantae; Streptophyta; Magnoliopsida; Malvales; Malvaceae.
GACUUUACAGGGGAAUAUUUGGUCUCACUCAUAUAACAAUUGCUUGAUUUUUUUGUGUUGUGUGAUCAUGACUUACUUUUGUUAAAGAUGUGCGAAUUUAUUUAAAAAUUUUGAUAUUUUAUAAUUUUUUUCAAUUUAAUCUUAAGAAUUUAUUUGAACAUCAUUGAAAUUUAAAGGGUUGAGGAGAACUUGAGUUGUGCUGAAAUACAUUAUCCUUCUAUUCAUGGGUUGAGGAAGAGAUAUAGAUAGUUUCAAACAUUAUUGUAUAAGUUCUAAUCAUAUAUGCUCUUUUUUUUACAAUAAUACUUAAAACUACCCAUAGCCCCUCCCCAACUAAUUAAUAGGACGAUAAUGCGUUUCAGCGCAUUUAAACACAUGUUCUCCUACAUUGACACCAAUACUCAUGUUAAUCGAGUUAAGACUCAAUCAACAUGUAGCACCCCAAACUCGGCCCAGAAGUUAUGACCGGAUCCGGCAUGCCAUAUCAAAAACGUUAAAAAAAUUUCCAUUCUAAGUCUAGAAAAUCGUACUUGAUGUUCAAAAGAUUAAUUCAUUAAGGAUUAAAGUGAAUGGAAGCUGUGCAUCAGGUAGGAAACCGGAAAAGAGGUGGUGAGUCCAUCGGACUGCUUAAGUACCAAGCUCCCUUCGGAUCCAAUCUUAGACAUGCAUACCGCCAUUGCCACACCUUAAUGUCAUGGAUAUUUCUAGGAAACCGAUUUGAUUAAGUCAUUUUUAGGAAAACUGAUUAAUUUUGGAAAAUACUUUCAUUGCAGAAGCUUUGCUUGUUGUCGUGUUAUUUUGAAAUCAACUGUUGUUUUUGAAAACGCGCCCUAAAGCUAUCCAAUUUCAACAGUUAAAAUAAGUAUUACCUAUCUUAGUAAUACAUAUUAAAACCAUCAAAAAUAGUUAAGCGGCCUUAUUACAUUUAAAAACCCAAAACUUCAAUCGUAAAUAAAAGGAUGUCCAGUUCACCAGAAGAAAAUCAAACUUUCAGAAUGGGUGGUCACUCUGAAUUCCCUCACAGCUCCAAGCCCACUAUGGUUGGGGAUUUCCUGCGUGGAUGAAAAUAAAAGGGGUGAGUUUGGGGAAACUCAGUGUGUAAAUUAACCCAACCAUAGUCUAUAUCAGCUCAAACCACAGAAAUAGAAUAAGUUGGCCUUAGCCCAGAAAAGAAUUUAGAAUAAAGCCUAUAGGCCCAUAACAGAACAGAACAGAUAUUACAUGUUUAUGCAGAAACCCAACCAUAUCCAACCGUAUACACCCCCAUACCAACCUUACAUCAUGUGGGGAGACAACUCGACCCACCCAACCGCUACACACCACAGAAUUUGCAACAUGGUUGCCAAAACAGAUAAUGUGACAGAGUCACCAGAUACAGAUAAUCGUGGCAGAGCCACCAGAACAGAUAUAUGUGGCAGAGCCACCAGAUCAGAUAUUUGUGGCAGAGCCACCAGAUCAUAUAUUUGUGGCAUAGCCACCAGAACGCUUCCUCCAUAAUAUAACCCAUGUCCCCAUGCAACAGAUAUAUAAUCAUGGCAUACAUCAUACAGAAUCAGAUCGUCAUGCUUUUCAGUCAAAAUUAACCCUAGGGGUAUAACGGUAAUUUUGCACCUAGGGGUAUAACAGUAAUUUUCCAUACAUAGGGGUAUUAUAGUAAUUUAGCUACUUUUAGGGUUUUCAUGCAUAUCCUAACUAUUUACGUACUAUCAGAACACUUACCGCGCAUACUUACCGAAUUGGGCCCGUUGGCCCAUGAACCCGAUCUUUGGCUCAUUAAGCCCAAAUUAUCAAAAUGUACGAAAUCGCGCGUACUGCAGUUUAUUACUUUAGAUUACCAAAUAUACAAACCCAACUAUCUUACAAGAAUUCGCACACUCGCAAAUUCCCAAAAUACCGACUUUUCGGCAUUUCGGCUUUUCGGCUUUUGCCAAUCUAGUCUAUGAGAGGGUGUCAGUUACACACCUGUUUGCGACGAUAUGCUGACGAGAUCCACACACGAACUGCCUACAAUUGGAUUACUAACACGUUAAUCUAACUAUUCAAAUACAAACUACAUAUUAACCCCUUACAAUAUUCGGCCAACCACACCUACAGAUCAUAGUAAGCUUAUAAGAAAUCAAUAAGCAACUCAUUAACAAAUUUUGUCAAUGUUUACCACAUAAUCAUAAUUUCACUGCAAGAUGUCUUCCUGAGCAACAGUCACUAAAUUAUUUAUAACUGGAGCUACGAAACUCCAAAUCAAGUGCCGUUAAUUUUCCCUGAAAAUAGACUCAUAUAUCUUCUAUCCAUAAAAUUUUCAGAAUUUUUUUGUUUAGCCAAUCAAUACCAGAUUUUUCUCAAAGUUUCCCAUGUUUCACUGUUUGACUAAUCUGACCACCCUUCAUUACGAAUCAAAUUUCUCAUUGUACAGAAUUCAAAAUAUGUUCUUGUUUAUUUCAUUAGAAACUAGACUCAAUAAGCUUUAAUUACAUAAUUUAUGCAGCUUCUAACUCAUCUUCCACAAUUUAUGGUGAUUUUCCAAAGUCACGUUACUGCUGCUGUCCCAAGCAGAUUUAUUACCAAAUCACUCUUUCACACCUAACUUGCAUGCUUGUUAUUUAAACAUGUAUAUCACCAAUCAAUCAUCACAUAUCUAUGAUUUUACUUAAGUAUAAUCUCCAUUUCAUCAUUUUAAAGCACAACAUGUUAGCUGAUUUUUCCCUUUAACAUCUAAGGCACAUGCAUGCUUAUUUGUUUGGCUCAACUUCACCUAUCUUCCAUUUUUCAUCAAAAGAACAUGAAACAACAAUCAUUUCCUUCAUUUUAAUUCAUGACUAAAUGCUCACAACACAACUAAAAAUCAAAAUAUACUUCAACAGUUAAGGUAGAAUCAAGAAGAACUCAUGAACCUCAAAAUAGCAGCAAGGUACCAAGAACUUACCUUCAAUUUUCCUCCUCCUAAUGACCAAAUACUCAAGAGCUUUCUCCUCUCCUUUCUCUUCUCUAACUUUCAGCUAUGAUGAACAAAGAUGGACAAAACUUUGUUCUUUUCACCCCUUUUUCUUUUAAUAAAACUUCAUAUUUCAUCCAUUUAAUUCUUUAAUACAAAAGACAUGAAAUUCAUAUCAUGAAACAUUUACCUAACCCAUUAUCAUGGAACAUUUACCUAACCUAUUAUCAUGAAACAUUUACCUAACCCAUUAUCAUGGAACAUUUACCUAACCUAUUAUCAAGGAACAUUUACCUAACCUAUUAUCAAUUUGUAUCAAUUUGUACCAUAAAUUAUAGAUAUCAAGUGUACAUUUUGUCUAUAACAACAUAAUGGCUGGCCACUUCAUGUAAAAUGGGAGGUUUGUCAUGCAAAUCCUCCUAUUUUGCACUCCUAUUUAUUUGGCCACUUCAAUUUAGCCUAUAACAUUUUCAAACAUUUUCACAUAGGUCCUAUUUCAUAAUUUCACCCCUUUUUUUCUUAUGGAACAAAAAUUAACUAAAAUUGUCGGGUUCUAUCUUAAGUUUGGGCUUUCUAGAGGCCCACUAACAUAAUUAAACCUAUGCCAACAUUCACAGAAUUCCCAAAAAUUGAGGCGUUACAACUCUACCAUCCUUAAAGAAAUUUCGUCCUCGAAAUUUACCUAAUCCAAACAGAUGAGGGUAUUGUUGUUGCAUCGUCUCUUCUGGCUCCCAAACUUAGAAGUUUCCCCUUCCUUAACUUGUUGAAAACGAGCGACCAAAGACUCAUCGUUCAACUGUAUUUCCUUAAUCUGAUCCACCCAGGUUGGCCUCACUUGCAACUCAGCCAACAGACUUCCAUCAUCAUACAGACUCAGACGAGCAAACAUUGCUCUCAGAUCAGAUACAGCUCUACAACUUAGAGCAUCGGCUACCACAUUAGCCUUGCCUGAGUGAUACUCGAUCGAACAGUCAUAAUCCUUAAGCAACUCAAUCCAUCUCCUUUGCCUAAGGUUCAGCUCCUUCUGAGUCAACAAAUACUUAAGACUCUUGUGGUCUGUGUAUAUAAUACACCUUUCUCCGUACAAGUAAUGUCUCCAAAUCUUAAGUGCAAAUAUCACUGCUGCCAACUCCGUAUUUCUGACACUAACCUAGGCGGCUUCCACUCCAAAAUCGUUUAAAUUUUCCGAGGGUCCACCUUAAUCCCUUCAGCAGAGACCACAUGUCCUAAGAAGGUUACCUCCCUCAACCAAAGUUCAGACUUGCUAAACUUCACAAAGAGUUCCUUCUCCCUUAAUACUUACAGCACUAUACGGAGAUGCUCAUCAUGUUUCGUUUCAGUUUCAGAAUAUACCAGGAUAUCGUCAAUAAAGACGACUACGAACUGAUCCAAAAAUGGUUGGAACACACGAUUCAUCAGAUCCAUAAAUGCUGCAGGAGCGUUCGUCAGUCCAAAUGGCAUAACCAGAAACUCGUAAUGACCAUACCGAGUCUUGAAUGUCGUCUUUUGGAUAUCUGCCUCCUUGACCCUUAACUGAUGAUAUCCAGAUCGAAGGUCGAUCUUGGAAAAUACAGAAGCUCCUCUAAGCUGGUCGAAUAGAUCGUCAAUCCUUGGAAGUUGAUACUUAUUCUUAAUCGUCAGUUUGUUCAACUGGCGAUAAUCAAUGCACAUCCGCAUCGUACCAUCCUUCUUUUUCAUGAAUAGCACUGGUGCUCCCCAUGGAGACAUGCUUGGCCUAAUAAAGCCCCUAUCCAACAACUCUUGAAUUUGAGCAUUUAACUCUACUAACUCCUUCGGUGUCAUCCUAUACGGUGCGAUAGACACAGGCACCAUUCCAGGCAACAAGUCUAUUCCAAACUCAACUUCUCAAUUCGGAGGCAAUCUUGGAAGCUCCUCCGAAAAAAUAUCUUGGAACUCCUUUACGGUCCUAACCUUAUCCACUGUCAGUCCCUUCUCUUCCGACUGACUUACAAAUACCAAUUAGGCCUCACAACUUUUCCGAAUCCACUUUUCGACUCUUAAUGCCGACACCACAUUGGACAAAUAAUCCAUUCUCUCACCUAUCACCAUAACCUCCUCAUCCUUUGUAGUUCUUAACACCAUUCGUUUAGCAGCACAAUCCAGAGUCGCCUUAUGCUUAACAAGCCAAUCCAUUCCCAGAAUGAGGUCAAACUCUCCGAACGGUAACUCCAUUAGAUCUCUAGGAAAAACCUUGCCUUGAGUUUCAAAGGGUACAUUCCUAUACAGUUUGUCUACCCUAAUUGAGUGACCCAAGGGACUUAGUACAGAUACCCCACUCACAAUCUCCUCAGAGCAGUGCAAGUCAUCCAUAAUCCGUUCUGUGGCCUCCAACCAAUAUUCCGCCACAUUCGGGGCUAUACCAGACACGCCCCUAAAGAUCUCCGUUCCGUUAGUCCCGAAGUCAUUCAAAAAUAGAUCCCUGAAUUUUGUUGCUCGAACUUGCUCCGGCAACUCUUUCCAAAACACGAAGCAUUGCCUGUGACAGGGCAUCAUCCUCGGCACCACGGUCAUGAGACUCUACCUCUAUUUCCGGUGGUACCGGUGCAUCCACCGCCGGCAUAUGUCUCAAAGACGAAGAUCUCGCUCGAGCACGUCCUCGACUACGUCCACGGCCUCUUAUACUCAUAUCGUAUUAUCUUGAUUACGAAUUUUUAUGCAUCAAUUAAUAUUCCAGUGUUUAUUACAGAUGUUUUAUGAAUCAGACAGUAGUUCGGAGUUUGUUUUCGCAGAAUCGAAGUCUAGCUACAGUUUCAGUCUCUUAUCAGAUUUUCCUAUGGUUUCAGUAUCAUCCUUUCUAGAGUAUCCUAAUAGGGUUUCAGUACAGAUAGAUAAUUCAGGAAAAUAUUCAGAAAAGUUCAGAGUAAUACUUACAGGCUUGAGCCGGAGAUUCGGAAUACCACAUUCUAAAGAUCUAAAUUUUGAAAACUGCGUUUUUCGCAAUCUUUAUAAAAUUUUUGUUUUCGAAGAUCUAAAUUUUAUAAACCCAUUCCACAGCCGAGCUGUUGUAACCUAGGCUCUGAUACCACUAAAUGUAGCACCCCAAACCCGGCCCAGAAGUUAUGACCGGAUCCUGCAUGCCACAUAAAAAAUGUUAAAAAAAAUUUCCAUUCAAAGUCCAGAAAAUCGUACUUGAUGUUUAAAAGAUUAAUUCAUUAAGGAUUAAAGUGAAUGGAAGCUGUGCACGAGGUAGGAAACCGGAAAAGAGGUGGUGAGUCCAUCGAACUGCUUAAGUACCAAGCUCCCUUCGGAUCCAAUCCUAGACAUGCAUACCGCCAUUGCCACACCUUAAUGUCAUGGAUAUUUCUAGGAAACCGAUUUGAUUAAGUCAUUUUUAGGAAAAUUGAUUAAUUUUGGAAAAUACUUUCAUUGCGGAAGCUUUGCUUGUUGUCGUGUUAUUUCGAAAUCAAUUGUUGUUUUUGAAAACGCACCCUAAAGCUAUCCAAUUUCAACAGUUAAAAUAAGUAUUACCUAUCUUAGUAAUACAUAUUAAAACCAUCAAAAAUAGUUAAGCGGCCUUAUUACAUUUAAAAACCCAAAACUUCAAUCGUAAAUAAAAGGAUGUCCAGUUCACCAGAAGAAAAUCAAACUUUCAGAACGGGUGGUCACUCCGAAUUCCCUCACAGCUCCAAGCCCACUAUGGUUGGGGAUUUCCUGCGUGGAUGAAAAUAAAAGGGGUGAGUUUGGGGAAACUCAGUGUGUAAAUUAACCUAACCAGAGUCUAUAUCAGCUCAAACCACAGAAAUAGAAUAAGUUGGCCUUAGCCCAGAACAGAAUUCAGAAUAAAGCCCAUAGGCCCAUAACAGAACAGAACAGAUAUUACAUGUUUAUGCAGAAACCCAACCAUAUCCAACCGUAUACACCCCCGUACCAACCUUACACCAUGUGGGGAGACAACUCGACCCACCCAACCGCUACACACCACAGAAUUUGCAGCAUGGCUGCCAGAACAGAUAAUGUGACAGAGUCACCAGAUACAGAUAAUCGUGGCAGAGCCACCAGAACAGAUAUAUGUGGCAGAGCCACCAGAUCAGAUAUUUGUGGCAGAGCCACCAGAUCAGAUAUUUGUGGCAGAGCCACCAGAACGCUUCCUCCAUAAUAUAACCCAUGUCCUCAUGCAACAGAUAUAUAAUCAUGGCAUACAUCAUACAGAAUCAGAUCGUCAUGCUUUUCAGUCAAAAUUAACCCUAGGGGUAUAACGGUAAUUUUGCACCUAGGGGUAUAACAGUAAUUUUCCAUACAUAGGGGUAUUAUAGUAAUUUAGCUACUUUUAGGGUUUUCAUGCAUAUCCUAACUAUUUACGUACUAUCAGAACACUUACCGCGCAUACUUACCGAAUUGGGCCCGUUGGCCCAUGAACCCGAUCUUUGGCCCAUUAAGCCCAAAUUAUCAAAAUGUAAGAAAUCGCGCGUACUGCAGUUUAUUACUUUAGAUUACCAAAUAUACAAACCCAACUAUCUUACAAGCAUUCGCACACUCGCAAAUUCCUAAAAUACCGACUUUUCGGCAUUUCGACUUUUCAGCUUUUGCCAAUCUAGUCUAUGAGAGGGUGUCAGUUACACACCUGUUUGCGACGAUAUGCUGACGAGAUCCACACACGAACUGCCUACAAUUGGAUUACUAACACGUUAAUCUAACUAUUCAAAUACAAACUACGUAUUAACCCCUUACAAUAUUCGGCCAACCACACCUACAGAUCAUAGUAAGCUUAUAAGAAAUCAAUAAGCAACUCAUUAACAAAUUUUGUCAAUGUUUACCACAUAAUCAUAAUUUCACUACAAGCUGUCUUCCUGAGCAACAGUCACUAAAUUAUUUAUAACUGGAGCUACGAAACUCCAAAUCAAGUGCCGUUAAUUUUCCCUGAAAAUAGACUCAUAUAUCUUCUAUCCAUAAAAUUUUCAGAAUUUUUUUGUUUAGCCAAUCAAUACCAGAUUUUUCUCAAAGUUUCCCAUGUUUCACUGUUUGACUAAUCUGACCACCCUUCAUUACGAAUCAAAUUUCUCAUUGUACAGAAUUCAAAAUAUGUUCUUGUUUAUUUCAUUAGAAACUAGACUCAAUAAGCUUUAAUUACAUAAUUUAUGCAGCUUCUAACUCAUCUUCCACAAUUUAUGGUGAUUUUCCAAAGUCACGUUACUGCUGCUGUCCCAAGCAGAUUUAUUACCAAAUCACUCUUUCACACCUAACUUGCAUGCUUGUUAUUUAAACAUGUAUAUCACCAAUCAAUCAUCACAUAUCUAUGAUUUUACUUAAGUAUAAUCUCCAUUUCAUCAUUUUAAAGCACAACAUGUUAGCUGAUUUUUCCCUUUAACAUCUAAGGCACAUGCAUGCUUAUUUGUUUGGCUCAACUUCACCUAUCUUCCAUUUUUCAUCAAAAGAACAUGAAACAACAACCAUUUCCUUCAUUUUAAUUCAUGACUAAAUGCUCACAACACAACUAAAAAUCAAAAUAUACUUCAACAGUUAAGGUAGAAUCAAGAAGAACUCAUGAACCUCAAAAUAGAAGCAAGGUACCAAUAACUUACCUUCAAUUUUCCUCCUCCUAAUGACCAAAUACUCAAGAGCUUUCUCCUCUCCUUUCUCUUCUCUAACUUUCAGCUAUGAUGAACAAAGAUGGACAAAACUUUGUUCUUUUCACCCCUUUUUCUUUUAAUAAAACUUCAUAUUUCAUCCAUUUAAUUCUUUAAUACAAAAGACAUGAAAUUC